RNAcentral lists this long non-coding RNA (2507 nucleotides) under Anthonomus grandis grandis. RNAcentral describes it as "uncharacterized LOC126742723". Lineage: Eukaryota; Metazoa; Arthropoda; Insecta; Coleoptera; Curculionidae. The record is from RNAcentral.
GCGCAGUGAUUGAAACGCAGUUUCUCGUGCGUGAGCGGGCCUGGCUGUGUUGACAGGAGUUCAUUUGCAAUUUGUCUUUAUAUUUACAAUGGGUUCGGAAGAGUAGCUUAUAGAGGUAGUCAGACAACACAGAGAACUUUAUGAUACAAAACAUCCGAACUACAUGAAAACCAAAUUAAAGACUAGGAUUUGGGGUGAAGUUGCAAAGGAGUUAAAGUCUAAAGACGAUGUACGGGGGUUUGGGCAGAAAUAAGUUUAUGGUAGCUCUACAAAUUUCAAUGAAAUUCACGGUAAAACUUCCUCAAUAAUGGAUAAUACGUCUACUUUAUUUUUGGAAAAUAAUAAAAUAAACUAGACUAAAUGCGACAAGUAACGAGAUCGAAAGUGAAAAUUAUUUUGAACUUCAGACGGAAAUAGAUGAAGCUAUUAAAACAUUAAUAGAUGACUGUGGAGGACAUGAUGAAUUAAUGUUAUUAGGCGAGAUAAAUGGCGCUUCAGAAAAUGCAUUUUCGGACCUCAACCUAGAAACUGACGGGGGAAAUAGGGUGCAAGACCUGUUGCGGAGCCUGGAACGUCAGGAAUAGUUACCAACCUACCAAGUAGUGCAAUGCGAUGACGAUGAUGAGUACUUACCAAGUGAAAGCAAAGAUGAACACCUUGAGGUCAAUAAAAAAACUAUAAAGGACAGAUUUUGAAAUCGAAGAUAGUGAAAAAGAAAAUGAGAUAUUAGUGGAAAAUAUAGAAGAGCACAUUAAAAUAAAAAAAAAUAGAAAACGAAAACCUGAUUCUGGAAGCUGGAAAAGACAAGAGUGUAAGAAUAAACGUGAAAAGGGUGAUGAAUAUGAUGGACUUAGAAAAAAUGCAGAGGGAAAGUGGAUAUUUGACGUAGCAAAACCGCCUCGUCAAAUGAAACAUUUCUGUAGCUGUAAAAUGUCGGAAAAAUCUAAGAAACUAAAAUGCCGAAAAUUCACAGAAGAAGACAGACAACACAUUUUUAAUCAAUUCUGGCAAAACAUAACUUGGCCUCAAAAGAAAACCUACAUUUCAAGCCUUGUAGACAGCACAGCUCCCAAAGAUUUAAAAAAUCAAAUCAAUGAAAUUUCAAGACGCUCUAAUACGUUUAUUUGUUAUUUAAAGAAAAAUGGUGUUUGCGAAAGAGUGUGUCAGGUCAUGUUUAUUAGCACUCUUAGUCUAGGAACUUGGUCUUUGCACAACUGGGUAACAUUAGGUAUAGAUCAUAAUACCGCUUUUCCUAAUACUUAUGUUAAUUUAACUCAGACUUAUAAAAUUAACAAUAGAAAUGAAUCAGAGAAAAUCGGAUUAAAGAACUUUUUCAUGCCAUUACCGAAAAUGGAGCUUCAUCGAGUAAAAAAUAUUUGGAGCCCAUUUGGCAGACUAAGGCUGCAUUAUACAGAAGUUAUAUUGAAUACUGUGAAACUAGGUCUAUUAAACCUCUCUCCAUAAAGUCAUUUCAUGAAGAGUUUGCUUUAAAUAACUUAAGCCUAUACGCACCCAAGAAGGAUCAAUGACCUUUGUGUCUCAUAUAAGGCGGGAAACGGUGACGAACAGAUAUAUAACCAACAUGUUUCCAGAAAAAAUAGAGCACGCGAUAAAAAAUCUACAAAUAAAAGCACAGCUCAUCGUGUUUUUACAAUGGACCCUCAAUCGGUUCUUCUUUGUCCAAUGGCUUCGAAAAUUUAUUACAAAAAAAAGUUCAUAAUUUUACUUUAUAUAAUUUAAGAACAAAAGAUGCAAAUUGCUUUCUUUGGCAUGAGGCAGAAGGAAAAGUUACCUCAAAUGAAUUUGCAACAAUUCUGUAUAAUUUCCUAGAAGAAUCCAGUAUGUGCGAAGGUGAUGAAAUAAUUUUCUAUAGUGAUGAAUGCACUGCCCAAAAUAAAAACGUAACUUUGUCAAAUGCUCUUUGGCUAUCAAUAAAAAAGGGUAUAAUUAUUACGCAAAAAUAUUUGGUAAGUGGCCAUACCCAGAUGGAGUGCGAUAGCAUGCACUCUACAAUUGAGUGAAAACUCCGCAAUAGAGAAAUUUAUUCACCUGCUGGAUAUAUUGCUGCAUGUAAAUCGGCUCGGUCAAAUCCAAAACCCUAUCAAGUUAAAUAUUUAAAUCAUAAAUAUUUUAAAAACUUUUCGGCACUUAAGUACCACACUUCCAUUCGUCCUGGCUAUAAAACAGGAGAUCCGACUGUUAAUGAUUUGUGCGCCAUUCAGUACAGGCCUAAUGGAAAAUCAUACUUCAAAUUAAAUUUUGACGAUGAUUGGACGGUAUUGGAAAAGAGGCUUAGCAGGAAAAGUCAAGGGGUUGGAGAAAUAGUUUCUCUUUAUGAAAACUCACUUCCAAUUAAAAAAAGCAAAUAUGAUCAUUUGCAACAAUUAAAAGAAGUUAUACCUGCGGACUAUCAUCUUUUUUAUGACACCCUACCAUUUGAAGCAGACUAGUUUUUAAUUUUUUGUUAAUUUUUCAAAAUAAUUUAUAUAAUGUAUAAUGUAUACCUU